This 406-nucleotide ribosomal RNA is filed under the name uncultured bacterium. RNAcentral's name for it is "partial 16S ribosomal RNA". It matches the Rfam family "Bacterial small subunit ribosomal RNA", at positions 30 to 526 of the family's 1533-position model. The record is from RNAcentral.
AUUGAACGCUGGCGGCAGGCCUAACACAUGCAAGUCGAACGAGUGGCGGACGGGUGAGUAAUGUCUGGGAAACUGCCUGAUGGAGGGGGAUAACUACUGGAAACGGUAGCUAAUACCGCAUACCAUCAGAUGUGCCCAGAGGGGAUUAGCUUGUUGGUGGGGUAACGCCUCACCAAGGCUACGAUCCCUAGCUGGUCUGAGAGGAGGACGAGCCAGAAUGGAACUGAGACACGGUCAAGAAUCCGACGGGAGGGAGCAGUGGGGAAUAGUGCACAAUGGGCGCAAGCCUGAUGCAGCCAUGCCGAGUGUAUGAAGAAGGCCUUCGGGUUGUAAAGUACUUUCAGCGGGGAGGCGUUACCCGCAGAAGAAGCACCGGCUAACUCCGUGCCAGCAGCCGCGGUAAUUC